CCCCCCCAACCGGUGGAGCAUGUGGUUUAUUUGGAACCACCGGGAGGACCUUUCCUGGGCCUGGCCAUGCUGGGACCUUUCCAGGGAGGGAUUGGUCCUUUCGGGAAUUCAGCCCCGGUUGUGCCAUGGCGUUGUUCAGUUCUUGUCUUGGGAUGUUGGGUUAAGUCCGCAACGAAGGCCACCCCUGGUCCUUAGUUCCCACCACCAAGGGUGUCACUCUAAUGAGAUCCCAUUUC
This 236-nucleotide ribosomal RNA is filed under the name bacterium LB69. RNAcentral's name for it is "partial 16S ribosomal RNA". It matches the Rfam family "Bacterial small subunit ribosomal RNA", at positions 920 to 1157 of the family's 1533-position model. The record is from RNAcentral.